Molecule: non-coding RNA, 352 nt
Organism: Schizosaccharomyces pombe (fission yeast)
Lineage: Eukaryota; Fungi; Ascomycota; Schizosaccharomycetes; Schizosaccharomycetales; Schizosaccharomycetaceae
Source: the annotation of a GenBank genome assembly
AGGACACGAAUGAAGAGGAAAUGGUUUCGAUACAAAACAAAAUAUUAACUUACAUUUUUUAGAACCAUCAUUUUGGGUCUCGUAAAGGGACUCAGCAAACUUCUCUACGAACUCGGUAGAAGGAAUUCCUUUCUAUAAUCUGUUAGUUGAGAAAAGGGCAAAAACGGGAUUCGGUUACAUUGUCAUUUAAAGAAUUUAAUAACUUUAUCUGGGAAUCAUUCAACGCGUUUUUUGUAGACAUGUCUUAAUAGACAAGAAAUUUUAAAUCUACAAUUCUCGAAUAGAAAAGUAAUGAUCAAAGUUUCCUUUGGUUUGUAGGUGAUGGGUUAUCACUAGGUUCUAUGAAGUGGGU